AUGUCCGAAAGAUUGGCACAUCUGAAUGCGAUCUGUCUCACCUUGGGGAAAGUGUGGUGCUCGAUCAAGGGGAUCACCUGCGCAGAGAUUGGGGUAAAUCAAUUUAUCUUCACGUUUCAUCGGGAUUCAGGCAAGAGGAAGGCUUUGGAGAACAGACCAUGGAUGUUUGAUCAGAAGUUGGUGGUGGUGGAGGAGUACGAGCCCAGCAAGCGGCCGGAAGACUAAACCUUCAAUGAUAUCCCGAUCUGGGUUAGCGUUUUCAACCUCCCAUUGGGCAUGAUGAAUGAGGACUCGGCAGAAGAUAUUGGCAGCAUCAUUGGCAGAUUUGUGGAGGCUGAUACAGGAGCGGACGAUAGGGCUGUUGGUAGGUUCCUCAGGAUCAAAGUUCGAAUGCAGAUUGACAAGCCAAUCAUGAGGAGGUUCACCCUGGAGGAUGAAUGUAAGCCUAAGGGUGUGUGGGGGGAGCCUUGAGCAAGGGCUAUUGAUGAGAAAGAGGGAGAGGAUGGAGACUGGUGUGGGUUCAAAUAUGAAUACUUGCCGGAUUUUUGUUAUACAUGAGGUGUCAUUGGGCAUGGGGAGAAAGAGUGUAUGAUCAAGCUGAGGAAGGGAGAGAAGCAGCAGUUUGGUCGUUGGCUUAAAGCUGACAUCGGAAAGAGGAGGGGUGAUGGAGGAGGGAGCAAGGAGAUUGGGAAGUCGUGGCACAGGAGCUUCUCACAGCUUUGGUUACAGUCGCCCUGGUGGCCUAUCUGGUAG
This 753-nucleotide ribosomal RNA is filed under the name Triticum aestivum (bread wheat). RNAcentral's name for it is "partial small subunit ribosomal RNA". Lineage: Eukaryota; Viridiplantae; Streptophyta; Magnoliopsida; Poales; Poaceae. The record is from RNAcentral.